Molecule: ribosomal RNA, 252 nt
Filed under: uncultured bacterium
Lineage: Bacteria
Description: partial 16S ribosomal RNA
Rfam family: Bacterial small subunit ribosomal RNA
Source: RNAcentral
GACGAACCGUGCGAACGUUGUUCGGAAUCACUGGGCUUAAAGGGCGCGUAGGCGGCUUGCCAAGUCAGGGGUGAAAUCUUGCGGCUUAACCGUAAUAAGCCUUUGAUACUGGCAGGCUCGAGGGAGGUAGGGGCAUGUGGAACUUCUGGUGGAGCGGUGAAAUGCGUUGAUAUCAGAAGAAACGCCGGUGGCGAAAGCGACGUGCUGGAUCUCUUCUGACGCUGAGGCGCGAAAGCUAGGGUAGCGAACGGG